This 391-nucleotide ribosomal RNA is filed under the name uncultured soil bacterium. Its description in RNAcentral is "bacterial SSU rRNA". It matches the Rfam family "Bacterial small subunit ribosomal RNA", at positions 26 to 417 of the family's 1533-position model. The record is from RNAcentral.
AGAUUGAACGCUGGCGGCAGGCCUAACACAUGCAAGUCGAGCGGUAGAGAGGUGCUUGCACCUCUUGAGAGCGGCGGACGGGUGAGUAAUGCCUAGGAAUCUGCCUAGUGGUGGGGGAUAACGUUCGGAAACGGGCGCUAAUACCGCAUACGUCCUACGGGAGAAAGCGGGGGACCUUCGGGCCUCGCGCCAUUAGAUGAGCCUAGGUCGGAUUAGCUAGUUGGUGAGGUAAUGGCUCACCAAGGCGACGAUCCGUAACUGGUCUGAGAGGAUGAUCAGUCACACUGGAACUGAGACACGGUCCAGACUCCGUAGGGACGCAGCAGUGGGUAAUAGUUGGACAAUGGGACGAAAGCCUGAUCCAGCCAUGCCGCGUGUGUGAAGAGUUCUU